GUUCAUUGGGCGGCCUGGCUAUACUGCCAGUCGAACGAGUUCUGAUUAUUGAAAGGUGCUUGCAUCUUGAUUUAAUUUUGAACGAGUGGCGGACGGGUGAGUAACACGUGGGUAACCUGCCCUUAAGUGGGGGAUAACAUUUGGAAACAGAUGCUAAUACCGCAUAAAUCCAAGAACCGCAUGGUUCUUGGCUGAAAGAUGGCGUAAGCUAUCGCUUUUGGAUGGACCCGCGGCGUAUUAGCUAGUUGGUGAGGUAACGGCUCACCAAGGCAAUGAUACGUAGCCGAACUGAGAGGUUGAUCGGCCACAUUGGGACUGAGACACGGCCCAAACUCCUACGGGAGGCAGCAGUAGGGAAUCUUCCACAAUGGACGCAAGUCUGAUGGAGCAACGCCGCGUGAGUGAAGAAGGCUUUCGGGUCGUAAAACUCUGUUGUUGGAGAAGAAUGGUCGGCAGAGUAACUGUUGUCGGCGUGACGGUAUCCAACCAGAAAGCCACGGCUAACUACGUGCCAGCAGCCGCGGUAAUACGUAGGUGGCAAGCGUUAUCCGGAUUUAUUGGGCGUAAAGCGAGCGCAGGCGGUUUUUUAAGUCUGAUGUGAAAGCCCUCGGCUUAACCGAGGAAGUGCAUCGGAAACUGGGAAACUUGAGUGCAGAAGAGGACAGUGGAACUCCAUGUGUAGCGGUGAAAUGCGUAGAUAUAUGGAAGAACACCAGUGGCGAAGGCGGCUGUCUGGUCUGUAACUGACGCUGAGGCUCGAAAGCAUGGGUAGCGAACAGGAUUAGAUACCCUGGUAGUCCAUGCCGUAAACGAUGAAUGCUAGGUGUUGGAGGGUUUCCGCCCUUCAGUGCCGCAGCUAACGCAUUAAGCAUUCCGCCUGGGGAGUACGACCGCAAGGUUGAAACUCAAAGGAAUUGACGGGGGCCCGCACAAGCGGUGGAGCAUGUGGUUUAAUUCGAAGCAACGCGAAGAACCUUACCAGGUCUUGACAUCUUUUGAUCACCUGAGAGAUCAGGUUUCCCCUUCGGGGGCAAAAUGACAGGUGGUGCAUGGUUGUCGUCAGCUCGUGUCGUGAGAUGUUGGGUUAAGUCCCGCAACGAGCGCAACCCUUAUGACUAGUUGCCAGCAUUUAGUUGGGCACUCUAGUAAGACUGCCGGUGACAAACCGGAGGAAGGUGGGGAUGACGUCAAAUCAUCAUGCCCCUUAUGACCUGGGCUACACACGUGCUACAAUGGAUGGUACAACGAGUUGCGAGACCGCGAGGUCAAGCUAAUCUCUUAAAGCCAUUCUCAGUUCGGACUGUAGGCUGCAACUCGCCUACACGAAGUCGGAAUCGCUAGUAAUCGCGGAUCAGCACGCCGCGGUGAAUACGUUCCCGGGCCUUGUACACACCGCCCGUCACACCAUGAGAGUUUGUAACACCCGAAGCCGGUGGCGUAACCCUUUUAGGGAGCGAGCCGUCUAAGGUGACAAAAGUA
Molecule: ribosomal RNA, 1479 nt
Filed under: Lacticaseibacillus rhamnosus
Lineage: Bacteria; Bacillati; Bacillota; Bacilli; Lactobacillales; Lactobacillaceae
Description: bacterial SSU rRNA
Rfam family: Bacterial small subunit ribosomal RNA
Source: RNAcentral